Molecule: ribosomal RNA, 1269 nt
Filed under: Triticum aestivum (bread wheat)
Lineage: Eukaryota; Viridiplantae; Streptophyta; Magnoliopsida; Poales; Poaceae
Description: partial small subunit ribosomal RNA
Source: RNAcentral
AUGGCGCAGCCGCAUCCGUCCUCGUCGUCCUCCGCGCAGCCGCUCUCCUCGCCGUGGGUCAUCCUAGGCAGCAUCCCGCGCGUCUCCGCACUGGCGGACGCCGGCGACGUCUCCGUCGAGCUGGCGGCGCCGCCGCGCGUCUCGAUCCUCACCGUCUCCCCGCGCGCCUUCCCGGACCCCCCUACGCCCCGCAACUUCCCCUUCGUCCUCGCCGCCGACCCCUCCGGCCUUCUCCUCCUCCAGGCCAACCUGCACUGCGCCCCGACCCGUGAGGUCAUCCGUCGCCCCGGCCUCCAGGAACUCUCCUGGAAAUUCGCUACUUCUCGCUACUUCGUGCUCGACGCCACCACCGGCUCGGCGUUCCACCUCCCCUACCCGGAGGCCACCAUCAUGCACCAGGCCCUCCUCGGCCUUCUCGUCUCCCCCAGGGGCGGCGGCCACUACAUGGUCGCGGAGCUCCAGCCCAUCAUCGGCUUGGACGAAGCCACGCUCCUCUGCUUCUCCACAGAGGUUGGGGAGUGGAUCGAGAAGACCGUCCAUUACCCGCUCCCGCCACGCCCGCUGGCUCCCAUCUGCGUGGUUUCGCAUCACGGGAGGCUCUGGUGGGUGGACCUCUCAUGGGGCGUCAUCACCUGCGACCCCUUCGCCGACGAGCCGGUCCUGGGCUUCGUUCCGUUCCCGCCGGGAAGGGUCCUGGAGUGCAGGGAAGGUUGGGGUGUCGCCGACAAGUUCCGUUACGUGGGGGUGAGCGGCGGCAAGCUGCGUUUCGUCGACAUGUACAUGGGCAAGCGUGCUGGUGCUGGUGCUGGUGGCGGCGGCACUCCCACUCCCACUCCCACGGUAAGCGUGUGGACGCUGGGCGAUCCAAACUCCAGGGAGUGGACGCUGGAGCAACAGGCGAGCUUUACAGAGAUCUGGGCCGAUGAGAGCUACAAGGCGGCCGGGCUGCCGGAGAAGAUCCCCAUCGUCGCGCUCAUUCACCCCAAGAACCCCGAUGUGGUCUACUUCUUCCUCGAGGAGCACCUCUUUGGUGUUGACAUGCGUGCUCGCAAGGUGAUGGAGUGCCAGGUGUAUGGUCUUGUUGCGCCUCCGAGCAUCCGCCUGGCCAGCCGCUUCGUUCGGGCUUGGGAGCUGCCACGGGCGCUCUCCUCCUCAGGCGAGUGGUCUAAUGGCAUCGACUUGGCUGAGAGCGCUAAUGCACGCCCAUACCAGCCAUCGCCAGGGGACUACCACUUGGUGGGGGACACCAGGCAGACAUUCAUAGGUUGA